UCCCUGGUGGCUCAGAUGGUAAAGAAUCUGCCUGCAAUGCAGGAGACCCAGGUUUGAUCCCUGGGUCGGGAA
Ovis aries (sheep) is the source of this 72-nucleotide transfer RNA. It matches the Rfam family "tRNA". Rfam says of the family: Transfer RNA (tRNA) molecules are approximately 80 nucleotides in length. Their secondary structure includes four short double-helical elements and three loops (D, anti-codon, and T loops). Lineage: Eukaryota; Metazoa; Chordata; Mammalia; Artiodactyla; Bovidae. The record is from Rfam.